Long non-coding RNA from Amphiprion ocellaris (clown anemonefish), 352 nucleotides. The record is from Ensembl. NCBI's taxonomy places the organism in Eukaryota, Metazoa, Chordata, Actinopteri, Pomacentridae.
UGUUUGGGUCGUUCCCUACAUUCAGUCCUAAUUGAGCUCUCAGCUUUGAAUUUCCAAACAGGAAAUGUCUGCGCGAAUAAAGCCGCUGGUGAUGAGUAAAAUGAUUUCUGUCAUUUCCCUCCAAACUGGAAAAAGGAUUAAUUCAUAAGCCCUCAGCUCGUCCCCCCGGUGGGUAAUAAGACUUAAUCCACUAAGACCUCCUCCUUCUCCUCUCUGGGCUCGUCUCCUCACCCAUCUGCUGGGAGACAAAGAGGGAAUCCCUGCCUCCAUCUCAUUGUUCUGAUGCCGCCGCCUCCCUGCAUCCAUAAACACCCUUCAAUAAUAGAUGAGCAGCUCCUCCCUCCACGGCUCC